RNAcentral lists this unclassified non-coding RNA (780 nucleotides) under Hevea brasiliensis (rubber tree). The record is from RNAcentral. Lineage: Eukaryota; Viridiplantae; Streptophyta; Magnoliopsida; Malpighiales; Euphorbiaceae.
AGAAUUUGAAACUCUUAACAAAAGCAAAACAAGAACUACAUGAUAAAUUCGAUUAUAACACACUAUAAAGCAGGCCAUGAAAUAGUAUACGCUACCAACUUUAAAAUAACGUCUGAUAUACAAAGUAUACAGCCCAUAUACUAGUUUCAGCUCAUCACUCAACUGGAAUCCUAACUUCAUUGGUCUUAAAUGGAGGUAAUAUCCAUGUCGGAUUAUACCUAGCCAACUCAAAUUCCCCAAUUAUGUUACACCCAUCUCUCUCCAACAAUUUCUUCAAAUUCUCUACUUUCUCUAUCACAAUUUUCUCACUUGCAGUCCCACCAAACUUCAUCACCCCAUACUUCCUCUCCCCUUCUUCUACAAUCACCACUCUCUCAUCCAAUGGCUUUGGUGCCUCUUCACAUUUCGUAUACGUCGCUGGCAAAAUGAAUUGCAUAGUCACCGUAUUCUUCUCUCUGUCAUCGCUUUUAGUCACCACCGGUGUUGUCAUGGCGAUUUUCUCACCCGAUUUGGUGAUUACAGGGGUUGUCAUGGCAAUUUUUUCAGGAUUAGAGUUUUGGGGAUUACCGAAUAUCCCAAUGUAAUUGGUAAGUAGUUUGAAUCCACCGUCUUUGUCGCCUUUGAACUGGAUCGGAUCGUAGGUGACUUGUGCCAUAACAGCUGCUGGGUAUUUGCGGAUUUCGUAAUCAGCUGUAGAUUGAAUUGUUUUGUAUUUGGGUGUUUCAACACAGAUCUUCCCAAAAACAAUGCCCAUUUUUGAGAAAUUUCUGAAUUUCUUUU